This 253-nucleotide ribosomal RNA is filed under the name uncultured bacterium. RNAcentral's name for it is "partial 16S ribosomal RNA". It matches the Rfam family "Bacterial small subunit ribosomal RNA", at positions 524 to 776 of the family's 1533-position model. The record is from RNAcentral.
UACGUAGGGUGCAAGCGUUAAUCGGAAUUACUGGGCGUAAAGCGUGCGCAGGCGGUUAUGCAAGACAGGGGUGAAAUCCCCGGGCUCAACCUGGGAACUGCCUUUGUGACUGCAUAGCUAGAGUACGGUAGAGGGGGAUGGAAUUCCGCGUGUAGCAGUGAAAUGCGUAGAUAUGCGGAGGAACACCGAUGGCGAAGGCAAUCCCCUGGACCUGUACUGACGCUCAUGCACGAAAGCGUGGGGAGCAAACAGG